This 1330-nucleotide ribosomal RNA is filed under the name uncultured bacterium. RNAcentral describes it as "bacterial SSU rRNA". It matches the Rfam family "Bacterial small subunit ribosomal RNA", at positions 1 to 1344 of the family's 1533-position model. The record is from RNAcentral.
GGAUCCGCGCCGCUGCAGAGUUUGAUCCUGGCUCAGGACGAACGCUGGCGGCGUGCCUAACACAUGCAAGUCGAACGGAGUUACGGGAGCUUGCUCCUGUAACUUAGUGGCGGACGGGUGAGUAACGCGUGAGCAACCUGCCUUACAGAGGGGGAUAGCCAUUGGAAACGAUGGAUAAUACCGCAUAACGUACAGUCAUGGCAUCUUGAUUGUACCAAAGGAGCAAUCCGCUGUAAGAUGGGCUCGCGUCCGAUUAGAUAGAUGGUGAGGUAACGGCCCACCAUGUCGACGAUCGGUAGCCGGACUGAGAGGUUGAACGGCCACAUUGGGACUGAGACACGGCCCAGACUCCUACGGGAGGCAGCAGUGAGGGAUAUUGCACAAUGGGCGAAAGCCUGAUGCAGCAACGCCGCGUGAGGGAUGACGGUUUUCGGAUUGUAAACCUCUGUCUUCGGUGAUGAUAAUGACAUUAGCCGAGGAGGAAGCCACGGCUAACUACGUGCCAGCAGCCGCGGUAAUACGUAGGUGGCAAGCGUUGUCCGGAUUUACUGGGUAUAAAGGGAGCGCAGGCGGGAUAGCAAGUCAGCGGUGAAAUGUAUGGGCUUAACCCAUGAACUGCCGUUGAAACUGUUAUUCUUGAGUGAAGUAGAGGCAAGCGGAAUUCCGAGUGUAGCGGUGAAAUGCGUAGAUAUUCGGAGGAACACCAGUGGCGAAGGCGGCUUGCUGGGCUUUUACUGACGCUGAGGCUCGAAAGUGUGGGGAGCAAACAGGAUUAGAUACCCUGGUAGUCCACACUGUAAACGAUGAUUACUAGGUGUGGGGGGUCUGACCCCUUCCGUGCCGCAGCUAACGCAAUAAGUAAUCCACCUGGGGAGUACGGCCGCAAGGCUGAAACUCAAAGGAAUUGACGGGGGCCCGCACAAGCAGUGGAUUAUGUGGUUUAAUUCGACGCAACGCGAAGAACCUUACCAGGUCUUGACAUCGAGUGACGAGUUCAGAGAUGAGCUUUUCCUUCGGGACACGAAGACAGGUGGUGCAUGGUUGUCGUCAGCUCGUGUCGUGAGAUGUUGGGUUAAGUCCCGCAACGAGCGCAACCCCUGCCAUUAGUUGCUACGCAAGAGCACUCUAAUGGGACCGCUACCGACAAGGUGGAGGAAGGUGGGGACGACGUCAAAUCAUCAUGCCCCUUAUGACCUGGGCUACACACGUAAUACAAUGGCCGUAAACAACGGGAAGCGACCUCGCGAGAGUGAGCAAAUCCCCAAAAGCGGUCUCAGUUCGGAUCGCAGGCUGCAACCCGCCUGCGUGAAGUUGGAAUUGCUAGUAAUCG